RNAcentral lists this ribosomal RNA (253 nucleotides) under uncultured bacterium. RNAcentral's name for it is "partial 16S ribosomal RNA". It matches the Rfam family "Bacterial small subunit ribosomal RNA", at positions 524 to 776 of the family's 1533-position model. The record is from RNAcentral.
UACGUAGGUGGCAAGCGUUGUCCGGAUUUAUUGGGUUUAAAGGGUGCGUAGGCGGUCUUAUAAGUCAGUGUUGAAAUAUCCCGGCUUAACCGGGAGGGUGGCAUUGAUACUGUAGGACUUGAGUAGAGUUGAGGUUGGCGGAAUUGACGGUGUAGCGGUGAAAUGCUUAGAUAUCGUCAAGAACACCGAUAGUGAAGACAGCUAACUAAGCUCUAACUGACGCUGAGGCACGAAAGCGUGGGGAGCAAACAGG